UAUAGGUUUGGUCCCAGCCUUCCUGUUAACUUUCAAUAGACUUAUACAUGCAAGCAUCCACGCCCCGGUGAGUAACGCCCUUCGAAUCACACAGGACUAAAAGGAGCAGGUAUCAAGCACACACUCUUGUAGCUCACAACGCCUUGCUUAACCACACCCCCACCGGAGACAGCAGUAACAAAAAUUAAGCCAUAAACGAAAGUUUGACUAAGCCAUAUUGACUAGGGUUGGUAAAUCUCGUGCCAGCCACCGCGGUCAUACGAUUGACCCAAGCUUACAGGAGUACGGCGUAAAGCGUGUUAAAGCAUCAUACUAAAUAGAGUUAAAUUUUAAUUAAACUGUAAAAAGCCAUAAUUAUAACAAAAAUAAAUGACGAAAGUAACCCUACAAUAGCUGAUACACCAUAGCUAAGACCCAAACUGGGAUUAGAUACCCCACUAUGCUUAGCCCUAAACACAAAUAAUUAU
Molecule: ribosomal RNA, 467 nt
Filed under: Ovis aries (sheep)
Lineage: Eukaryota; Metazoa; Chordata; Mammalia; Artiodactyla; Bovidae
Description: partial 12S ribosomal RNA
Source: RNAcentral